CAGUAGCCGCGGUAAUACGUAGGGUGCAAGCGUUAAUCGGAAUUACUGGGCGUAAAGCGUGCGCAGGCGGUUAUAUAAGUCAGAUGUGAAAUCCCCGGGCUCAACCUGGGAACUGCAUUUGAGACUGUAUGGCUAGAGUGUGUCAGAGGGGGGUAGAAUUCCACGUGUAGCAGUGAAAUGCGUAGAUAUGUGGAGGAAUACCGAUGGCGAAGGCAGCCCCCUGGGAUAACACUGACGCUCAUGCACGAAAGCGUGGGGAGCAAACAGGAUUAGAUACCCCUGUAGUCCCUGUCUCUUAUAU
RNAcentral lists this ribosomal RNA (301 nucleotides) under uncultured bacterium. Its description in RNAcentral is "partial 16S ribosomal RNA". It matches the Rfam family "Bacterial small subunit ribosomal RNA", at positions 509 to 809 of the family's 1533-position model. The record is from RNAcentral.